AUUGAACGCUGGCGGAAUGCUUUACACAUGCAAGUCGAGCGGCAGCGCGGGGCAACCUGGCGGCGAGCGGCGAACGGGUGAGUAAUGUAUCGGAACGUGUCCUGUCGUGGGGGAUAGCCCGGUGAAAACCGGAUUAAUACCGCAUACGAUCGAGAGAUGAAAGUGGGGGACCGCAAGGCCUCACGCGAAUGGAGCGGCCGAUAUCUGAUUAGCUAGUUGGUGGGGUAAAGGCCCACCAAGGCUUCGAUCAGUAGCUGGUCUGAGAGGAUGAUCAGCCACACUGGGACUGAGACACGGCCCAGACUCCUACGGGAGGCAGCAGUGGGGAAUUUUGGACAAUGGGGGCAACCCUGAUCCAGCCAUUCCGCGUGAGUGAAGAAGGCCUUCGGGUUGUAAAGCUCUUUUGUCCGGGAAGAAACGGUUUCACCUAAUACGUGAGACUACUGACGGUACCGGAAGAAUAAGGACCGGCUAACUACGUGCCAGCAGCCGCGGUAA
This 498-nucleotide ribosomal RNA is filed under the name uncultured bacterium. RNAcentral's name for it is "partial 16S ribosomal RNA". It matches the Rfam family "Bacterial small subunit ribosomal RNA", at positions 30 to 523 of the family's 1533-position model. The record is from RNAcentral.